RNAcentral lists this long non-coding RNA (278 nucleotides) under Trifolium pratense (red clover). Its description in RNAcentral is "long non-coding RNA (TPRA_LNC008240)". The record is from RNAcentral. Lineage: Eukaryota; Viridiplantae; Streptophyta; Magnoliopsida; Fabales; Fabaceae.
AAAAGGGUAGAAAUAGGAUAACUCUAUUUUCUUGCAACUCUUUUGAGAAUCUCAUUGUAAUCAAGAAACAAAGUUUGAUAGUGGAACGGAGAGCUGCUCUCUCCCCCAGAUUAGGUCACAUUGACUGAACUGGGUAAACAAUUUAUUGUGUCCUUUUCUUUUCUCGCCGUUUAUCAUUAUUUGUGAUUAUUAUUGCCGUUCGCUUAUUUUGAUUGCUUAAUCGUAUUUGCUCCACACAUCAAGAUUAUUAUUGGUGUGAUUUUAUCGAAUUCACAACA